UGGGGCUUUGUUGAUCUGAUAUUCUGUAUUGGGCCGGAGAUGGGGAGGGACAAGGGGCUCUCUUUAUGUCUCUCCGUAUAGAAUUGAGUCAUCAGGAAAGUGCACUAUCCCCUGUCUGGCCAGGCUUUUGAGCCCACCUGCGUCCUGGCACUGAGGGUAAAGCGGUAGCGCGACACGGGGUCUGCUCUUUGCAUCGUGAACUUGGUCUGAUUGGGAGAGAAGUUUUCCACUAUCUGCUUUCCUAAUUUGGUUCCAUUAACUGGGGAGAGAGAGUGUCCUACCGAAUUGAUGUCCUAAAAAGAGACCGAUCCCUUCCAUUCUGUCCCCAGUUGUCCAUCAGCCAACUCUCAAUGACCUGUGAGUCACAGAACCUGCAGCAUCCCAUGCCUACAGCCUCUGUCACUUCCCAGGCAACUUUUAAAUAAAGCUAUGUGUAAGGGAGAGCCUGGCAUAACCUGUUUUUCUU
Molecule: long non-coding RNA, 466 nt
Organism: Canis lupus familiaris (dog)
Lineage: Eukaryota; Metazoa; Chordata; Mammalia; Carnivora; Canidae
Exons: 3
Source: RefSeq, a predicted model, not a curated record